This is a non-coding RNA of Microcebus murinus (gray mouse lemur), 257 nucleotides long. NCBI's taxonomy places the organism in Eukaryota, Metazoa, Chordata, Mammalia, Primates, Cheirogaleidae. The record is from RefSeq and is a predicted model, not a curated record.
CCGCCCGCCCCCCGCCUCGUGUCGCCGCCGCGUCCCCACUGCGCCCGGCGGCCGAGAGGAUGGCGCUCGCGGCGCGGCGCUUGGCGCGGCUGCUCCUGGCCCAGGUCUUUGCAGCCUCUUUGGAAUCUGAAUUGAGUGAGCAUGCAUCAUACAGAGCACCAAACUGUGGUCAGUAUAAGUUACCAGAAUGUCCCAGGGACUACAACCCCGUGUGUGGCAGCGACAUGUCCACUUAUCCCAAUGGAAUGUACCUCUGU